CCUACGGGGGGCUGCAGUGGGGAAUUUUGCGCAAUGGGCGAAAGCCUGACGCAGCAACGCCGCGUGGGUGAUGAAGGUCUUCGGAUCGUAAAACCCUGUCGUUGGGGACGAAGGUGGGGGCGUUAAUAGCGUUUCUGCUUGACGGUACCCGGAGAGGAAGCCCCGGCUAACUCUGUGCCAGCAGCCGCGGUAAUACAGAGGGGGCUAGCGGUGCGCGGAGGGCGUGGGCGCAAAGGGUUAAGUGAGAUGUGUAAUCCCCGAGCUCAACUUGGGAACUGCAUCUGAGACUGGAAGGCUAGAGUACUGGAGAGGGUGGUGGAAUUCCUCGUGUAGCGGUGAAAUGCGUAGAGAUGAGGAGGAACACCAGUGGCGAAGGCGGCCACCUGGACAGUAACUGACGCUGAGGCGCGAAAGUGUGGGUAGCAAACAGGAUUAGAUACCCUAGUAGUC
This 450-nucleotide ribosomal RNA is filed under the name uncultured bacterium. RNAcentral's name for it is "partial 16S ribosomal RNA". It matches the Rfam family "Bacterial small subunit ribosomal RNA", at positions 338 to 795 of the family's 1533-position model. The record is from RNAcentral.